RNAcentral lists this ribosomal RNA (253 nucleotides) under uncultured bacterium. Its description in RNAcentral is "partial 16S ribosomal RNA". It matches the Rfam family "Bacterial small subunit ribosomal RNA", at positions 524 to 776 of the family's 1533-position model. The record is from RNAcentral.
UACGAAGGGGGCUAGCGUUGUUCGGAAUUACUGGGCGUAAAGCGCACGUAGGCGGGUUGUUAAGUCAGGGGUGAAAUCCCGGAGCUCAACUCCGGAACUGCCUUUGAUACUGGCAAUCUAGAGACUGGAAGAGGUUAGUGGAAUUCCCAGUGUAGAGGUGAAAUUCGUAGAUAUUGGGAAGAACACCAGUGGCGAAGGCGGCUAACUGGUCCAGUACUGACGCUGAGGUGCGAAAGCGUGGGGAGCGAACAGG